This 260-nucleotide ribosomal RNA is filed under the name uncultured bacterium. RNAcentral's name for it is "partial 16S ribosomal RNA". It matches the Rfam family "Bacterial small subunit ribosomal RNA", at positions 334 to 604 of the family's 1533-position model. The record is from RNAcentral.
UACGGCCUACGGGGGGCAGCAGUCGAGAAUCAUUCACAAUGGGGGAAACCCUGAUGGUGCGACGCCGCGUGGGGGAAUGAAGGUCUUCGGAUUGUAAACCCCUGUCAUGUGGGAGCAAAUUAAAAAGAUAGUACCACAAGAGGAAGAGACGGCUAACUCUGUGCCAGCAGCCGCGGUAAUACAGAGGUCUCAAGCGUUGUUCGGAAUCACUGGGCGUAAAGCGUGCGCAGGCUGUCUCGUAAGUCUUGUGUGAAAGGCGC